UGAAAUUGAAAUUCAAAACAUAACAAUAAGGUACGAUUAUUCGAUUUAACAAAAAGUAGAGAACAUAACAAAAUAAUCUCAACCCCGAUGUUACAAUAUUAGAGCUAUUAUUCCAAAAUAAACGAAUAGUCGACUUAAGGUCCAAAGAGACAUAAAAUCAAAGCAAGCACUCAAAGUGGCCAUAUACACCAUCUUUCAUAAACAACAUCAACAAUCACUCCUCAGUCUCAACCUGAGAACCAUAUGCACAAGGGUUCACACAGAGGAAGAUAGAAACAAAAGGGGUGAGAAUCGUUCUAUAAAAUUAUGUGGUAUAAUAACAUCAAGGAUACAAUUUAAUAUGCAAGCACAUCGUUCACACUCAAUCACAAUCACACAAUACCACGAGACAUAUACAAAAAUAAAUAUGCAAUGUUCAUUUCCUCUACUCCCAUGCACGUGGUACCAUCAUAUGAUUCAGAGUUAUUUUACUAAAAUCCUAAAACACCAGAAUGAAUUCCUAUAACACCAAACUGAAGUCCUAACACCGGACGAAGUCCUUAUUCCAAGAGACAACCAAAUUUUGAAGAUAGUGGUACAUACUGCUGGCACUUUUCUAUUUUAAUUUACAACCAGCGAAAUCAGAAUCAGAGUACACAUAAGUGGGGUACUAGUCAGAGACCUCAUAAUGCAUUUGAGUGCAGAGAGGUGUGAUUAUUUUGAGUUUCCUUGAAAACAUGCACAAAGAAAUACAUAAAAAAUAAUAUUAGGACAAGAUGCACUAAGGUAAAGAAGGGAACCGAUCAUACCUCGACAUUUG
This 799-nucleotide long non-coding RNA is filed under the name Lathyrus oleraceus (garden pea). RNAcentral describes it as "Pisum sativum (pea) long non-coding RNA (PSAT_LNC031731)". Lineage: Eukaryota; Viridiplantae; Streptophyta; Magnoliopsida; Fabales; Fabaceae. The record is from RNAcentral.